GGCCGUGUGGCCCAAUGGCAAGGCGCUUGACUACGAUCGAUCUUGGGUCAACCAGGAUUCGGCAAUCAAGAGAUUCCAGGUUCGACCCCUGGCACGGUCA
Molecule: transfer RNA, 100 nt
Organism: Baudoinia panamericana
Lineage: Eukaryota; Fungi; Ascomycota; Dothideomycetes; Mycosphaerellales; Teratosphaeriaceae
Rfam family: tRNA
About the family: Transfer RNA (tRNA) molecules are approximately 80 nucleotides in length. Their secondary structure includes four short double-helical elements and three loops (D, anti-codon, and T loops).
Source: Rfam